Ochotona princeps (American pika) is the source of this 187-nucleotide small nuclear RNA. RefSeq annotates it as U2 spliceosomal RNA. The record is from RefSeq and is a predicted model, not a curated record. The transcript has a single exon. NCBI's taxonomy places the organism in Eukaryota, Metazoa, Chordata, Mammalia, Lagomorpha, Ochotonidae.
AUCGCUUCUCGGCCUCUUGGCUAAGAUCAAGUGUAGUGCUCCCCUGUUCUGUUUAGGGGUUUUUUUUUUUUGUUUUUUGUUUUGUUUUUUGGUGUUAGGUUUUUCCCUGGGUUUCUAUCUCCCUCUCUUUGUAACUAAUAGCACCUGUCAUUUAAAACAUACAAAGAAGCAAAAAAAAAAAAAAAAC